CCAGACUCCUACGGGAGGCAGCAGUAGGGAAUAUUGCACAAUGGGGGAAACCCUGAUGCAGCGACGCCGCGUGAGUGAAGAAGUAUUUCGGUAUGUAAAGCUCUAUCAGCAGGGAAGAAAAUGACGGUACCUGACUAAGAAGCCCCGGCUAACUACGUGCCAGCAGCCGCGGUAAUACGUAGGGGGCAAGCGUUAUCCGGAUUUACUGGGUGUAAAGGGAGCGUAGACGGCAUGGCAAGUCAGAUGUGAAAGCCCGGGGCUCAACCCCGGGACUGCAUUUGAAACUGUCAGGCUGGAGCGCAGGAGAGGUAAGUGGAAUUCCUAGUGUAGCGGUGAAAUGCGUAGAUAUUAGGAGGAACACCAGUGGCGAAGGCGGCUUACUGGACUGUAACUGACGUUGAGGCUCGAAAGCGUGGGGAGCAAACAGGAUUAGAUACCCGAGUA
Molecule: ribosomal RNA, 444 nt
Filed under: uncultured bacterium
Lineage: Bacteria
Description: bacterial SSU rRNA
Rfam family: Bacterial small subunit ribosomal RNA
Source: RNAcentral